GAUGAAGAACGUAGCGAAAUGCGAUACGUAAUGUGAAUUGCAGAAUUCAGUGAAUCAUCGAAUCUUGAACGCAUAUUGCGCUCUCUGGUAUUCCGGAGAGCAUGCUUGUUUGAGUAUCAGUAAACACCUCAACUUCCAUAUCUUUUUUGAAAUGGGAGUUGGACUUGAGUGAUCCCAACGCUUUUCCUCACCGAAAAGUGGCGGGUUACUUGAAAUGCAGGUGCAGCUGGACUUUUCUCUGAGCUAUAAGCAUAUCUAUUUAGUCUGCCUAAAAAACAGAUUAUUACCUUUGCUGCAGCUAACAUAAAGGAGAUUAGUUCUUGUGCUGACUGAUGCAGGAUUCACAAAGACGGCUUCGGCCGACUUUGUAAACUCGAUCUCAAAUCAAGUAAGACUACCCGCUGAACUUAAGCAUAUCAAUAAGCGGAGGA
RNAcentral lists this unclassified non-coding RNA (431 nucleotides) under soil metagenome. RNAcentral describes it as "partial contains 5.8S ribosomal RNA, internal transcribed spacer 2, and large subunit ribosomal RNA". The stretch from base 1 to 119 matches the Rfam family "5.8S ribosomal RNA", at positions 35 to 154 of the family's 154-position model. The record is from RNAcentral.